GGGGAAUUUUGCGCAAUGGGGGCAACCCUGACGCAGCAACGCCGCGUGCGGGACGACGGCCUUCGGGUUGUAAACCGCUUUCAGCAGGGAAGAACCUAUGACGGUACCUGCAGAAGAAGCCCCGGCUAACUACGUGCCAGCAGCCGCGGUAAUACGUAGGGGGCGAGCGUUAUCCGGAAUGAUUGGGCGUAAAGCGCGCGCAGGCGGCCGCUCAAGCGGGACCUCUAACCCCGGGGCUCAACCCCGGGCCGGGUCCCGAACUGGGCGGCUCGAGUGCGGUAGGGGAGAGCGGAAUUCCAAGUGUAGCGGUGAAAUGCGCAGAUAUUUGGAAGAACACCGAUGGCGAAGGCAGCUCUCUGGGCCGUCACUGACGCUGAGGCGCGAAAGCCGGGGGAGCGAAC
This 401-nucleotide ribosomal RNA is filed under the name uncultured bacterium. RNAcentral's name for it is "bacterial SSU rRNA". It matches the Rfam family "Bacterial small subunit ribosomal RNA", at positions 356 to 773 of the family's 1533-position model. The record is from RNAcentral.